RNAcentral lists this ribosomal RNA (440 nucleotides) under uncultured bacterium. Its description in RNAcentral is "partial 16S ribosomal RNA". It matches the Rfam family "Bacterial small subunit ribosomal RNA", at positions 338 to 795 of the family's 1533-position model. The record is from RNAcentral.
CCUACGGGAGGCAGCAGUGGGGGAUAUUGCACAAUGGGGGGAACUCUGAUGCAGCGACGCCGCGUGGGUGAAGAAGCGCCUCGGCGCGUAAAGCCCUGUCAGCAGGGAAGAAAAUGACGGUAACUGGAGAAGAAGCCCCGGCUCACUACGUGCCAGCAGCCGCGGUAAUACGUAGGGGGCAAGCGUUAUCCGGAUUUACUGGGUGUCAAGGGGGCGCAGACGGCGAUGCAAGCCAGGAGUGAAAGCCCGGGGCCCAACCCCGGGACUGCUCUUGGAACUGCGUGGCUGGAGUGCAGGAGGGGCAGGCGGAAUUCCUGGUGUAGCGGUGAAAUGCGUAGAUAUCAGGAGGAACACCGGUGGCGAAGGCGGCCUGCUGGACUGCAACUGACGUUGAGGCCCGAAAGCGUGGGGAGCAAACAGGAUUAGAUACCCGAGUAGUC